AUUGAACGCUGGCGGCAUGCCUUACACAUGCAAGUCGAACGGCAGCACGGGUGCUUGCCCCUGGUGGCGAGUGGCGAACGGGUGAGUAAUACAUCGGAACAUGUCCUGUAGUGGGGGAUAGCCCGGCGAAAGCCGGAUUAAUACCGCAUACGAUCCACGGAUGAAAGCGGGGGACCUUCGGGCCUCGCGCUAUAGGGUUGGCCGAUGGCUGAUUAGCUAGUUGGUGGGGUAAAGGCCUACCAAGGCGACGAUCAGUAGCUGGUCUGAGAGGACGACCAGCCACACUGGGACUGAGACACGGCCCAGACUCCUACGGGAGGCAGCAGUGGGGAAUUUUGGACAAUGGGCGAAAGCCUGGUCCAGCAAUGCCGCGUGUGUGAAGAAGGCCUUCGGGUUGUAAAGCACUUUUGUCCGGAAAGAAAUCCUUGACUCUAAUACAGUCGGGGGAUGACGGUACCGGAAGAAUAAGCACCGGCUAACUACGUG
RNAcentral lists this ribosomal RNA (486 nucleotides) under uncultured bacterium. RNAcentral's name for it is "partial 16S ribosomal RNA". It matches the Rfam family "Bacterial small subunit ribosomal RNA", at positions 30 to 507 of the family's 1533-position model. The record is from RNAcentral.